This 388-nucleotide ribosomal RNA is filed under the name uncultured bacterium. RNAcentral's name for it is "bacterial SSU rRNA". It matches the Rfam family "Bacterial small subunit ribosomal RNA", at positions 28 to 416 of the family's 1533-position model. The record is from RNAcentral.
GACGAACGCUGGCGGCGUGCUUAACACAUGCAAGUCGAGCGGUAAGGCCCUUUCGGGGGUACACGAGCGGCGAACGGGUGAGUAACACGUGGGUGACCUGCCCUCAGCUCUGGGAUAAGCCUGGGAAACCGGGUCUAAUACCGGAUAUGACUCCAUGACGCAUGUUGUGGGGUGGAAAGCCUUGUGCGGCUGAGGAUGGGCCCGCGGCCUAUCAGCUUGUUGGUGGGGUGAUGGCCUACCAAGGCGACGACGGGUAGCCGGCCUGAGAGGGCGACCGGCCACACUGGGACUGAGGCACGGCCCAGACUCCUACGGGAGGCAGCAGGUGGGGAAUCUUGCGCAAUGGGCGAAAGCCUGACGCAGCGACGCCGCGUGAGGGAUGACGGCC